GGAGCUGUGGCUCAGUGGUAGAGCAUCUGCUUGGUAUGCAGGAGGUCCCAGGUUCGAUCCCUGGUAUCUCCA
Molecule: non-coding RNA, 72 nt
Organism: Gekko japonicus
Lineage: Eukaryota; Metazoa; Chordata; Lepidosauria; Squamata; Gekkonidae
Source: the annotation of a RefSeq genome assembly